This 449-nucleotide ribosomal RNA is filed under the name uncultured bacterium. Its description in RNAcentral is "SSU rRNA". It matches the Rfam family "Bacterial small subunit ribosomal RNA", at positions 26 to 518 of the family's 1533-position model. The record is from RNAcentral.
AGGAUGAACGCUGGCGGUCUGCUUAACACAUGCAAGUCGAACGGAGUAGCAAUACUUAGUGGCGGACGGGUGAGUAACGCGUGAGAAUCUACCUUCAGGACGGAGACAACAGUUGGAAACGACUGCUAACCCCCGAUGUACUGAAAAGGCAAAUAUUUAUAGCCUGAAGAAGAGCUCGCGUCCGAUUAGCUAGUUGGAGAGGUAAAAGCUCACCAAGGCGACGAUCGGUAGCUGGUCUGAGAGGACGAUCAGCCACACUGGGACUGAGACACGGCCCAGACUCCUACGGGAGGCAGCAGUGGGGAAUUUUCCGCAAUGGGCGAAAGCCUGACGGAGCAAGACCGCGUGGGGGAAGAAGGCUCGUUGGGUUGUAAACCCCUUUUCUCUGGGAAGAACACAAUGACGGUACCAGAGGAAUCAGCAUCGGCUAACUCCGCGCCAGCAGCCGC